GAUGAAGAACGCAGCGAAAUGCGAUAAGUAAUGUGAAUUGCAGAAUUCAGUGAAUCAUCAAAUCUUUGAACGCACAUUGCGCCCGCCAGUAUUCUGGCGGGCAUGCCUGUUCGAGCGUCAUUUCAACCAUCAAGCCCCAGGCUUGUGUUGGAGCCCUGCGGCUGCCGCAGCCUCCCAAAACCAGUGGCGGGCUCGCUAUCACACCGAGUGCAGUAGUUUACUCUUCGCUCAGGGCGUGUGGCGGGUGCUAGCCGUAAAACCCCCAACUUCUCAAGGUUGACCUCGGAUCAGGUAGGAAUACCCGCUGAACUUAAGCAUAUCAAAAGCGGAGGA
This 333-nucleotide unclassified non-coding RNA is filed under the name soil metagenome. RNAcentral's name for it is "partial contains 5.8S ribosomal RNA, internal transcribed spacer 2, and large subunit ribosomal RNA". The stretch from base 1 to 120 matches the Rfam family "5.8S ribosomal RNA", at positions 35 to 154 of the family's 154-position model. The record is from RNAcentral.